CCGGGCGCCUCGGUGCCCCACCGCCCCGGGAACAGGGGACAGGACCUACUCACCCGGCAGUCCGCGGCAGGGAGGGCAGCGAAGAGAGGAGCGGGUGCGGCUCUGCCGGGAACCGAGAGUGAUCUCCGGAAAAGCGAAACUGAAACUUUGCGCUCCAGGGCGGCGGGGCCGGACGCACCCCUGCCCGGGCCCGGCACAGCGGCGUCGCGAGUCGCGGCGCCAUCCCCAUGCGGAGAGCCAUGGCUUCGAACCUCUGCCCGCCGUCCCCGCUGCUCGUGCGGGUGUCGCAUCCCGGCACCCGCCUUACAUGGAAGCUGGAAAAGUACUUCCAGAGCCGGGAGUCGGGCGGCGGGGAGUGCACCGUGCAGGCCCUGGACCGCAACGACCCCAACUCGGACACCUUCCGGGUGCAGUUCGUGCAAAGGGCGAGUAAGGAGGGAGUGUUGAAGAAAGGAAAGCACCAAAUUGUGGUUGCCAACAAACCUGUGACUGUUUUCCUGGAACCCAAUGAAAAUGCAGUAGAGAAGAACACCAGGAUGUCUUCUUUGACACAGUCACGAAAAGGGGCGAGGCCUGGUGAGAAGCAUCCAAAUGAAAAGGACAUUUCUAGCAUUGUGGAUUCCUGUGUCCAGAAGAUCUUUCUUACUGUCACGGCUAAACUGAACUGUCACCUGUUCUCUAAAGAGCAGAGGGAACACAUCGCCAUCCUCUGCCCCAAUGUCGAACGAGUGAAGGGCCAUGAAGGAAUUGAGAAAGUGCGCGGUGACUUCAGAGAUAUUGAAAAAAUACAUGGCUUCUUGAGUGAACACCUCCUGGAAAAGGAGCAGAAACGAGAAUCUUCCCCUUUGACAACAGAGAGGGAGCCGCUCCAUCAGCAGGACGGGAACAGCUGUGUUUCUCCCUCUGAACCAAAAACCAGGUCGGAAGAAAAAAACAACGGUUUUGAAGUUCCCUUGGCUCUCUUUGAAUACUUCACAUACACCUGCCCUGAUAAAAUAUACUCAAUAGAGAAAAGAUUUGGUACAAAAAUAAAAAGUCAGAAGAGUUCUCCGAAUAUAGUCUAUUUAGACUUCACCUCAAGUCAAUCAGGUAACCUCGAAGCAGCUCGCGAGUCUUUUGUCAGAGAAUUUCAGAAGAGUGUGGAGAUGCUGAAGCAGGAAUGCGUUGCUCUGGCAGACAGUGAGCAGGCACACAAAAUCAAACAGGAAUUAAAUCACCAGUUUACAAAGCUCCUCAUAACGGAGAAGGGAGGAGAAUUAACUCUCCUUGGGACCGCAGAUGACAUUUCAGCUGCCAAACAUUUUCUUGCCUCACAAAUCUCUGAAAGUCUUCCCAAGGCGCCUGUGAAAAUAGUGACUCCCAAGCACAUGAUGAAUGGAAUUGAGGUUGACACUGCUCACUAUAAGCUUUUAGAAGCAGAGUUACUCCAGGAGAUAUCACAGAUAGAAAAAAAGUAUGACACUCAAAGUAAGGUUUUGAGAACAAGUCAGAAAAUCUGCAUUCUAUUUGAACCUAAAACCAAGGAGUUAGAUCUAUCUGUGCAUGCUUAUUCAAGUUUCAUCGAUGCCUAUCAACAUGUCUCAUGUCAGAUUGUGAGAGAAGUUCUUUUGCUGAAACUUUUGGGCAAGGAGACAAAGCACUUACAUGGGACCAAGUUCUCUGAUGACUUUCGAAAAAGGCAUCCAAAUAUAGACUUUGUGCUAAAUCAAGAGUCAAUGACUUUGAUUGGGUUGCCAAAUCACCUUACAAAGGCAAAACAGUAUGUCUUAAACAGAGGGGGAAUGUCUCCAUUAGCUAGAGAGAAAUGGAAUGAAACACCCACGGACACUGAUAGUAAUGAUUCAAAAACAGCUUCACCAACAUUGCAGCGCUCUGCCAGUUCUGAGGUGUCAGAAGUGGACAAGGAAAAGGACAUAUGUACCAUCUGUUUGAACACCAUUAGCAACAGAAAAGUGCUCUCAAAGUGCAAGCAUGAUUUCUGCAGCCUUUGUAUCAACAAAGCCUUGUCAUAUAAGCCAGUCUGUCCUUUGUGCCAGACUUCCUAUGGUGUCCAGAAAGGGAAUCAGCCAGAUGGAAACAUGUAUGUCAUUUUCAAAAGAGACUCACUUCCAGGUUAUGAAUCCUGUGGCACCAUUGUGAUUACUUACAGUAUUGAAGAAGGCAUACAAACAAAAGAGCACCCAAACCCAGGAAAGAGAUUUUCUGGAAUAUGUCGAACUGCAUACUUGCCUGAUAACAAGGAAGGAAAUGAGGUUUUGCAUCUGCUUCGUAGGGCCUUUGACCAAAAACUGAUUUUCACAGUGGGAGACUCUCGAGCAUUAGGAGUCUCAGAUGUCGUUACGUGGAAUGAUAUCCACCACAAAACGUCCAGGUUUGGGGGACCAGAAAGGUAUGGCUACCCUGAUCCUGACUAUCUGAAACGUGUCAAACAGGAGCUGAAAGAUAAAGGAAUUGAGUAAGAAGAGUAUUGGAAGGAAAAGUUGAGCCAAGCUUGCAAAAGGCACAGUUGAAGAAGCAGAGUAAAUUCUAAUCUAAAUCCUUAUGUAAAAACACCUUUAAAAUUGUUUCAUCUCAAGAAGUGGUUUGUGGGGAAUUCCCCGGUGGUGCAGGGGUUAGGACUCCGAGAGCUUCCACUGCAGGGGGCACAGGUUCGAUCCCACGGUUGGGGAACUAAAAUCCUGGCUGCACAGCCAGAAAAAAAAAAAAAAAAGACGUGCUUUGUGUAAGAGUAAGAAUCUGCUGGUCUGUCAUUUCUGGAGUGUUACAUUUUCUGGAAGAUAAAAGCCCCGGAGAUCUGUGUAAUCUUGCUGCAGAGGUAGUGUGCCUCAUUCUCGUGUCAUCCUUGUGGAGGCUAGAGGGGUGGAGUGCUGUGGAUCUGAAAUCAUCUUCUGUGUUGUUCAACUGAAGUACCAGCUGUCAGUGGAUCCUCCUUUUAUCCCCAUCUCUCGGGUAGUCCUUCAGUUUUGUCUGUUUGCUCUUUGAGCCCUACCCUAAAAGUAAAACCCUAAUGUGAAGGGUGGUCGGGUGGGAGGAGGGCUUUGGUUAUGCAAAAUUAGAGACCUACGUUCCCCUCCCUGCCCCAUGGCCAGAGGAGUGGCCAGGACAGAGCCUGAGCAACCUUGGUAAUAAAGGGAAUAAGGCUGUUAUUUUUGACAACACAGAGCCUGGUGAACAGUUGGUGCUUAAUAAAUGUUUGCUGCCUGACUCAAGUUGCUAGUAACCCCGCAGAGAAACAUGUUCCUUAAAUCUUUGGCAGAGGCAGGAGUAAGGAAGACAGCUCUGGAGUCCUCACCACUUAUUUGGGAAAUGGAGUUUCUUACUCCAGAACUUGUGGCCUCUGAACUCUGACCGGCCUCUAACUUUGUCCUUGCUCCCUGCUGAUUCUUAUAACCUGCCAUAUGGUGUGCGCUUCCCCUGCCCUAGUAAUGCUACCCAUCUCUGAACAUUUUUCCCUCUGGAUAUUAUUGUACUUUUAUGUAUACCCCACUUGCAGUUUUAACAGAUAAAUCACAGGAAUCUCCACAGACUCUCAUUUUCUCAUGAGAAAAAUGAGAAAAAACCCUUUUCCUCCCUUUUGCUAAGUCCUACCACGUCAUGCUUUCUCCCUUAAAAUAUGUCUCCCUAAUAAUGUCUGGACAGAGAAAAGACUAGAGUCGUGCCUACCAUAAGGAAUACGGACAUGUCAAAAUUUACUUUUAAAUGGUUCCUCAAGUCAGAAGAAAGUUUUAACAGCAAACUAUCUCGUUAUCCAUGUCCCAGCCUCUCUCCAAAAAUGAUGAAAGAGAUGUCAUUUUCUUUUCCUAAAGAUACGUGUACACACAGUCUUCUUGGUCAGACAGUAAUAGUUAAUAUUGUGUACUUAUUUUGUCCCCUUUAUAAGAGCUUUAUAUCUGUGUGAUUGAUACUAUUGGUAUCCCCAUUUCAUAACUGAGAAAACUGAUGCACAGAGAGGAUAAGUACCUUGACAACGGUCACAUAAUUAAUAAGCAGAAGUUCUGGGAUUCGAAGGAGUUAGUCUGGCUCCAAGGCUUCUGUGCCCUAGAGCUGUACUGUCUCCUACAGGGGUCUUUUCCUCCAUGGAGGAAGCUGAGGCGUUCCCACUAUUCUGAGCUUCUCUCAGAAAUGGAUUCCUGCCCAGUGCUCAAGGCAGAUUUCCUCUGAGGAAUUCCUGUUUGAAGAACUUGAAAAACCAGAAUCUUUUUCUUUGUCCGGAGAGUUGAGGAAGUUUAAGGAACUAAGGUCCCCACCCAGGUGGAGGAUGGUAACUUCAGGCUGAAAACAAGCAUGUGGACUUCAGACUGGUUGGAACCAGACAGCUGAUGAUUGAGAUUCCAGGAACACCACCCAGUUACCUCCCCACCAAACCAUCAGAGGGAGGUCACACACCCUGCAGCUCUCUCCCCAACCCAAUUUUGCCUAUAAAAACUCUUCCCCCAAAACCAUCAGGGAAUUCGGGUCUUUUAAGCAUGAGCCGUCCAUUCUCCUUUCUUGGCCCUGCAAUAAACCUUUCUCCAUUCCAAA
Molecule: RNA transcript, 4521 nt
Organism: Balaenoptera ricei (Rice's whale)
Lineage: Eukaryota; Metazoa; Chordata; Mammalia; Artiodactyla; Balaenopteridae
Gene: DTX3L
Gene name: deltex E3 ubiquitin ligase 3L
Exons: 6
Source: RefSeq, a predicted model, not a curated record